GGAAGGGAUAACCGCUGAAAGCAUCUAAGCGGGAAGCCUGCUCCAAGAUAAGCAUUCCGUGGAACCUUCGAGUUCCUGUAGUCCCCAUGCAGAACACGUGGUUGAUAGGCCGGACGUGGAAGCCCCGCGAGGGGUGGAGCCGACCGGUACUAACGGACGAAAGGCA
This 166-nucleotide ribosomal RNA is filed under the name Bifidobacterium longum. RNAcentral describes it as "partial 23S ribosomal RNA". It matches the Rfam family "Bacterial large subunit ribosomal RNA", at positions 2757 to 2925 of the family's 2925-position model. The record is from RNAcentral. Lineage: Bacteria; Bacillati; Actinomycetota; Actinomycetes; Bifidobacteriales; Bifidobacteriaceae.